GGGAAUGAUGAUUUCACAGACUAGAGUCUCUGACGUUGGUCCUGAUGUCAAGCACAAAUUCUGACUC
Molecule: small nucleolar RNA, 67 nt
Filed under: Castor canadensis (American beaver)
Lineage: Eukaryota; Metazoa; Chordata; Mammalia; Rodentia; Castoridae
Description: Small nucleolar RNA SNORD52 (ENSCCNG00000028841.1)
Rfam family: Small nucleolar RNA SNORD52
About the family: U52 belongs to the C/D class of snoRNA which contain the C (UGAUGA) and D (CUGA) box motifs. Most of the members of the box C/D family function in directing site-specific 2'-O-methylation of substrate RNAs.
Source: Rfam by way of RNAcentral